AGUGAACGCUGGCGGUAGGCCUAACACAUGCAAGUCGAACGGCAGCACAGUAAGAGCUUGCUCUUACGGGUGGCGAGUGGCGGACGGGUGAGGAAUACAUCGGAAUCUACUUUUUCGUGGGGGAUAACGUAGGGAAACCUACGCUAAUACCGCAUACGACCUACGGGUGAAAGCAGGGGAUCUUCGGACCUUGCGCGAUUGAAUGAGCCGAUGUCGGAUUAGCUAGUUGGCGGGGUAAAGGCCCACCAAGGCGACGAUCCGUAGCUGGUCUGAGAGGAUGAUCAGCCACACUGGAACUGAGACACGGUCCAGACUCCUACGGGAGGAAGCAGUGGGGAAUAUUGGACAAUGGGCGCAAGCCUGAUCCAGCCAUACCGCGUGGGUGAAGAAGGCCUUCGGGUUGUAAAGCCCUUUUGUUGGGAAAGAAAAGCAGCAGGUUAAUACCCCGCUGUUCUGACGGUACCCAAAGAAUAAGCACCGGCUAACUUCGUG
RNAcentral lists this ribosomal RNA (492 nucleotides) under uncultured bacterium. Its description in RNAcentral is "partial 16S ribosomal RNA". It matches the Rfam family "Bacterial small subunit ribosomal RNA", at positions 29 to 507 of the family's 1533-position model. The record is from RNAcentral.